AAUUCCCACUUGGCUUCUCUCCAAGAUCCACGGCACGAAAAGCCAUUGUUAUUAGAAUUAAACUACGGGAAC
Malurus melanocephalus (red-backed fairy wren) is the source of this 72-nucleotide non-coding RNA. Lineage: Eukaryota; Metazoa; Chordata; Aves; Passeriformes; Maluridae. The record is from the annotation of a RefSeq genome assembly.